RNAcentral lists this ribosomal RNA (329 nucleotides) under uncultured eukaryote. RNAcentral's name for it is "partial 18S ribosomal RNA". It matches the Rfam family "Eukaryotic small subunit ribosomal RNA", at positions 1470 to 1796 of the family's 1831-position model. The record is from RNAcentral.
CCCUUAGAUGUUCUGGGCCGCACGCGCGCUACACUGAUGCAUUCAACGAGUCUAAAACCUGCUCUGAUAGGGGUGGGUAAUCUUUUGAAUGUGCAUCGUGAUUGGGAUAGAUGAUUGCAAUUUUUCAUCUUCAACGAGGAAUGCCUAGUAAACGCAAGUCAUCAGCUUGCAUUGAUUACGUCCCUGCCCUUUGUACACACCGCCCGUCGCUCCUACCGAUUGAAUGAUCCGAUGAAUAUCAUGGAUUGAGGAUGCAAGCAGGUUCGCCUGUCUUCAUCUUCGAGAAGUGAAGUAAAUCUUAUCAUUUAGUGGAAGGAGAAGUCGUAACA